Molecule: ribosomal RNA, 603 nt
Filed under: uncultured bacterium
Lineage: Bacteria
Description: bacterial SSU rRNA
Rfam family: Bacterial small subunit ribosomal RNA
Source: RNAcentral
UUNUGAACUGGGUGACUAGAGUGUGUCAGAGGGAGGUAGAAUUCCACGUGUAGCAGUGAAAUGCGUAGAGAUGUGGAGGAAUACCGAUGGCGAAGGCAGCCUCCUGGGAUANCACUGACGUUCAUACCCGAAAGCGUGGGUAGCAAACAGGAUUAGAUACCCUGGUAGUCCACGCCCUAAACGAUGUCGAUUAGCUGUUGGGCAGCAUGACUGCUUGGUAGCGAAGCUAACGCGUGAAAUCGACCGCCUGGGGAGUACGGUCGCAAGAUUAAAACUCAAAGGAAUUGACGGGGACCCGCACAAGCGGUGGAUGAUGUGGAUUAAUUCGAUGCAACGCGAAGAACCUUACCUGGUCUUGACAUGUACGGAACCCUUCAGAGACGGAGGGGUGCCUUCGGGAGCCGUAACACAGGUGCUGCAUGGCUGUCGUCAGCUCGUGUCGUGAGAUGUUGGGUUAAGUCCCGCAACGAGCGCAACCCUUGUCAUUAGUUGCCAUCAUUAAGUUGGGCACUCUAAUGAGACUGCCGGUGACAAGCCGGAGGAAGGUGGGGAUGACGUCAGGUCCUCAUGGCCCUUAUGACCAGGGCUUCACACGUCAUACAA